GACAGAGGGGGCAAGCGUUGCUCGGAAUUACUGGGCGUAAAGGGCGCGUAGGCGGUCUGUUAAGUUCGGUGUGAAAGCCCUCGGCUCACCCGAGGAAGUGCGCCGGAUACUGGCAGACUUGAGUACCGGAGAGGAGGGUGGAAUUCCUGGUGUAGCGGUGAAAUGCGUAGAUAUCAGGAGGAACACCGGUGGCGAAGGCGGCCCUCUGGACGAGUACUGACGCUGAGGCGCGAAAGCGUGGGGAGCAAACAGG
This 253-nucleotide ribosomal RNA is filed under the name uncultured bacterium. RNAcentral's name for it is "partial 16S ribosomal RNA". It matches the Rfam family "Bacterial small subunit ribosomal RNA", at positions 524 to 776 of the family's 1533-position model. The record is from RNAcentral.